Motacilla alba alba is the source of this 283-nucleotide long non-coding RNA. RefSeq lists it as uncharacterized. NCBI's taxonomy places the organism in Eukaryota, Metazoa, Chordata, Aves, Passeriformes, Motacillidae. The transcript has 3 exons. The record is from RefSeq and is a predicted model, not a curated record.
CACUAGAGAAAAAGAAGUCCCUUUCCUGUUCCUGGAUAGAUAAUGUAAAGAUCUUCAAUGGAAAAAAGUUCCUUUUCCACUCAGGCGUGCUGGCAAAUGGGGAGUCCGAAUGCUCGGAGCAAAGGUAUUCCAUCUCUGCCGUGUGAUGAGCACACAGUGAAAGUCAUCAAGAACUCUGCUGAAUUAAAUGAACUUUUCAGAAACUCUGAUGCUGCAGAGAAGGGACCCAACUUAAGAUCCUGAGGACUCACUCCCUGCUCUCCUGUGGAAGCUUUUUCACUGC